This 319-nucleotide ribosomal RNA is filed under the name uncultured eukaryote. RNAcentral's name for it is "partial 18S ribosomal RNA". It matches the Rfam family "Eukaryotic small subunit ribosomal RNA", at positions 1470 to 1796 of the family's 1831-position model. The record is from RNAcentral.
CCCUUAGAUGUUCUGGGCAGCACGCGCGCUACAAUGGUCUCCGCAAACGGAUGCAUUCUCGAAGGAGAAUGCCAAUCUUGGAAUCUAUGCCUUGGUCGGGACAGUUGCUUGCAAUUUUUCGACUCGAACCAGGAAUUCCUUGUAAUCGUGAUUCAUCACAUCACGAUGAAUACGUCCCUGCCCUUUGUACACACCGCCCGUCGCUCCUACCGAUCGAAGAGUUAGGUGAAUUGUUUUGAUCGAUAAGAUUUGACUAUGGUCAACUCUCGUUGUGAAAUUCUGUGAAUCUGACUGUUUAGAGGAAGGAAAAGUCGUAACA